RNAcentral lists this ribosomal RNA (506 nucleotides) under uncultured bacterium. Its description in RNAcentral is "partial 16S ribosomal RNA". It matches the Rfam family "Bacterial small subunit ribosomal RNA", at positions 29 to 523 of the family's 1533-position model. The record is from RNAcentral.
AUUGAACGCUGGCGGCAGGCCUAACACAUGCAAGUCGGACGGUAGCACAGAGGAGCUUGCUCCUUGGGUGACGAGUGGCGGACGGGUGAGUAAUGUCUGGGGAUCUGCCCGAUAGAGGGGGAUAACCACUGGAAACGGUGGCUAAUACCGCAUAACGUCGCAAGACCAAAGAGGGGGACCUUCGGGCCUCUCACUAUCGGAUGAACCCAGAUGGGAUUAGCUAGUAGGCGGGGUAAUGGCCCACCUAGGCGACGAUCCCUAGCUGGUCUGAGAGGAUGACCAGCCACACUGGAACUGAGACACGGUCCAGACUCCUACGGGAGGCAGCAGUGGGGAAUAUUGCACAAUGGGCGCAAGCCUGAUGCAGCCAUGCCGCGUGUAUGAAGAAGGCCUUCGGGUUGUAAAGUACUUUCAGCGGGGAGGAAGGCGGUGAGGUUAAUAACCUCACCGAUUGACGUUACCCGCAGGAGAAGCACCGGCUAACUCCGUGCCAGCCGCCGCGGUAA